UUUAUUGAUUCUUCGAUAAAAACUUGAUUAUAUUGUGCAGCGCGAGGGAAGAUCACAUCUUUCGGUCCAAUUGAAACGGAGGCCACAUUACCUGCCCCAAGUACUUAAACUAUUGUGACGCCACCCGCCCCCUCCCCGCCCAUUGGCCCUGUCCGCCGCCAGCGAAGAUACCGAAAAUGGUGGACGCUGCCAGACAAAUGCUCGAUGAGCUAAUGGGCCGCAAUCGGAACCUGCAUCCAUCGGAGGCAGGACUCAAGGUGAACUGGGAGGAUCCAGAGUUUUGUCAGUUUUACAACGUGAAGUUCUGCCCGCACGAUCUCUUCAUCAACACACGGGCCGAUCUCGGUCCCUGCGCCCGCAUUCACGACGAGGAGGCCAAGCACCUGUACGAGGAGGCGCGUCCGGCACGGAAGCGCCAGUACGAGGAUGAGUUUCUUCGCUUCUGCAACGUGAUGCUACACGACGUGGACCGGAAGAUUCAGAAGGGUAAGCAGCGUCUGCAACUAAUGCAGCGAGAUCACCCGCCACCGACGCUGCAAUUGAGCAAGCAUCAGGACCAGUUGAACACCCUGAAUGCCCGCAUUAACAAGCUGCUGGCGGAAGCCGAAGAGGCUGGUAUCCGCGGUGACGUUGACCAGGCCCAGGAUCUGAUGACGCUCUGCGAGGAGGUCAAAGAAGAGAAGGAGCAGCUUCUGCAGCAGUACGAUGCCAGCCGAAAGGCAAGCAGCAAGAUGAUCGCCCCGGACCCGUCCAGUGCGGACGAUCCCAUACACAGUCCAAGAACAAGCUUCUGCGAUGUCCCAGUGAUCCACGACAGCACACAAGCCCCAACUCCAACUAGAACAAUAAACCCAGCCCCCAUUGAUUUGGCCGGCGAAGCAGCAGUAGUAGCACCAGCAGCAGCCUCCCCAACCGAAGUGGACCUAGAAACCACUGGAUGUAAAGCAGGCCCUGGAUCAGGAGCAGAUGGGGAGGAGAAGUCGGACAAUACAGACAACAAGUCUCAGUCAAAUUGGUCACACGAAGCCCUGCCCGAGAAGCAAAUGAAGGUGUGCGAGAUUUGCGGUGCCUUUCUGAUUGUGGGCGAUGCUCAGCAGCGAAUUGAAGACCAUCUGAUGGGCAAGCAACACCUGGGAUACUCUAAGGUGCGCAACGCGGUGGCCGAAAUCAACGACGAGCGGCAGAAGGAGCGCGACCAGGAGCGCGAGCAGGAACGCGAGCAGGAGGAACGAAGACGGCGCGAGGGUCGGGGCCAGCGCUUUAACUCAUACGACAAUAGACGCGAGCCGCGCGAAUAUCGGGAGCGCAGUCGUGACUAUGUGCAGAGCCGCCAGACCUCAGACAGGCGACAUCAUCACCACAAGUCGCACCACGGCCACACAUACUCGCGCAACGGCAGCAAUAGCAACAACAACAACCGUAGCAGACAGCACAACCACAGUCAUAGCCACUAUCGGCAAGAGAGCCGCGAGCGGCACGCUCGUAGUCGCAGCCGCAGUCGCUACUAGAGACCAAAAACGAUAAGAUGGCUAGCGCUUAAGCUGAAACUCUAGGCCAGAAGCCGAAGCAACACGAGCUCAGCCGUAUCCGCGAUCCUUGUAGCUAACCCAAUGUACCCAACGUAUCCACGCAUCCACAACAAGCACCUGGCAAUGUGCCUGAGUCUUCGUCCCUUCCUCAUCGCUGCUGCAACCGCAACCCAACCCGAAAGAGAAACCGAAACCGAAGAACGAACAACACCAUCGAGGUACUCCAAAAAUAAUUAACAAAAUUUCAAGUAAUAUGUAUCAGAACAGUAAAAAAAGAAACAGAAUCAGAGUGAAUGAGAGUGCAGCUGGCAGGCGAGAUAAGAUCCUUGCCAGAGCAAGGUAAAUAAGGAGCCGGAACAUUCGGAAUACUCUGGAUCUGGCUUUGGAUGUGGAUCUGUGGUCAAUAGAGAGAAAGAUAUAUAUAUAUAUAUAUAGAUAGAAAGAAGAACCAACCAGGUAACUUCUAUGCCACACCUCCCCCACAUAAAUGUUUCUUCACGACAGACAAGGCAGCGCGUCGCACUAUCUACAUAUUGAAUAUGCGCUAUGAACAGAACAUACUCUGCAAUCUACGACCAACGAUCCACCAUUCUCUGAUCCCGGAAGAGAGACUCGCGUAGAACUUUAUUAGGCUUGAGACAUACGAGGUGAAUUUCUUUUUCUCUCAUCUAUAACUAUCUAUAGCCCUCGACUCUGACCCCGUUCACUGAUCCUUACCACGCAUCUCCAGUCCGUCAGUCUCUCUGUCUAUUGGGACCACCCUUUAACUCUUAAUUCAAAACAUAUAUAGAUACACACAUCUUUAGAUACACACAUAUAUAAGGAUCAUGCACAUAUAUGUAUGUAUGCAUGUACAUAUUUGACUUUGUGUUCCUAUUCCUAACGAGCAGCCUUCACAGUCGGAUCCGGAACCCCAUGAUCCACGAUCUCAUUAUGGAGUGAGUCUAUAGGCUGAAAGCCCCUUCCUUUCCGGCCUCCCCGAUCUGGAGAGCUUGCGAAUGCCUUUUUCAUACCUAACUACUUUUUCCCAUUUCGGUUACGAUGAAUUAGAAAACCAAUCAAUUCAAUUGAGUCCCCCACCCCCAGCCCACCCUUCCGUGGCAAAGCGCAGUCAUAUUCCUGUCCUUAGAGGAAAGAUCAAGUUUUUUUUCAGGACAAUUUUGUAGAGCCUAACGAAUCAUAAUUAUUUAUCUAUCUAUCGAUCGAAAGCCUGUAGUCAUGUAAAGAUGUUUUUAAGUAUGAUUUACGUACGCUAUGAGUAAGGAUACAACAUUCUAAAUAGUGAGACUCGCAAUAAUUUUCUAAUAAAGAUCAAAGCAAAUCCCGAAAAGGUC
Molecule: RNA transcript, 2863 nt
Organism: Drosophila miranda
Lineage: Eukaryota; Metazoa; Arthropoda; Insecta; Diptera; Drosophilidae
Gene name: luc7-like protein 3
Exons: 5
Source: RefSeq, a predicted model, not a curated record